UUGGGGGAAAAUUAGUAUAAUAAUAUUUAAUAAAAAUAAUUUUAAUAAAAUAUAAUUAAUGGGGGUUAAAGUAUUUUAUAAAGAAAAAAUUAUUUAAUUUAUAGUAAAUUAGUAUUGUGAAAGAAAUUUGAAAUAAUUGAAAAUAAAUUAUAUUAAAAGUAAAUUUUAUUUAUUGUAUCUUGUGUAUCAGAGUUUAUUAAUAAAAAUUUUUAUGAAGAAAAAAUUCUCGAAUUUGAAAGAGUUAAUUAAUUAAAAAAUUUAUUGUAGCAAAAAUAUUUUUCAUAAUUAAUUAGAAAUGAAAUGUUAAUCGUUUUUAAAUAUAUCUAGUUUUUUUAGAAAAAAAUUUAAUUUUAAAUUAAAUUACUUAAAAAAUUAAUUAAAAAAUUUUUUAAAAUUUAAAUUUAAUAUUUUAAGGGAUAAGCUUUAAUUUAAAUAUUUAUAAUUAAUAUUAAAUUUUUUUGAAAAUUUUAAAAUUUAUAUUGUUUAAAAAUUAUAAUUUUUUAUAAAUAAUUUCAUAAAAAAUAAAAUUUAAUUUUAAAUUUAAUUUUUUAUAAAUAAAUAAAAUUUAAAAAAAUAAUUUUAGUUAUAAUGAUAAAAUUAGUAUAUAAAUUUAAUUUAAAUAAUAUUAUUAAAUAUUUUUAAAUGUAAAAUUAAUUAUAAGGAAUUCGGCAAAAAUUUAUAUUCACUUGUUUAUCAAAAACAUGUCUUUUUGAAAUAAUUUAAAGUCUAAUCUGCCCACUGAUGAAAAUUAAAGGGCUGCAGUAUUUUGACUGUACAAAGGUAGCAUAAUCAUUAGUCUCUUAAUUGGUGACUUGUAUGAAAGAUUGGAUGAAAUAUAAGCUGUCUUAUAUUUAUUUAUAGAAUUUAAUUUUUUAAUUAAAAAGUUAAAAUAAAUUUAAAAGACGAGAAGACCCUAUAGAGUUUUAUAUAUAAUUUAAUUAAAUAUUUUUAUAUAAAUUUUAAAUUAAAAUUAAUUUAUAUAUUUUGUUGGGGUGAUAGAAAAAUAAAUAUAACUUUUUUUAUAAUAUAUAUAUAUAUAUAUAUAUAUAUAUAUAUAUAUGCCAUUAAUUGAUGAAUAAAUGAUCCAUAAAUUAUGAUUAAAAGAUUAAAUUACCUUAGGGAUAACAGCGUAAUUUUUUUUUUUAGUUCAAAUAAGAAAAAAAGUUUGCGACCUCGAUGUUGGAUUAAGAUAAAAUUUAAAUGCAAAAGUUUAAAAUUUUGAUCUGUUCGAUCAUUAAAAUCUUACAUGAUCUGAGUUCAAACCGGUGUAAGCCAGGUUGGUUUCUAUCUUUAGAUAAUUGGAAUAUUUUAGUACGAAAGGAUCAAAUAUUUGAAAUAAUUUUAUUUUAAAGAAUUUUAUUAAUUUUAAAUAAAUAUUUAAAUAAA
Molecule: ribosomal RNA, 1386 nt
Filed under: Grapholita dimorpha
Lineage: Eukaryota; Metazoa; Arthropoda; Insecta; Lepidoptera; Tortricidae
Description: 16S ribosomal RNA
Source: RNAcentral